AUUGAACGCUGGCGGCAGGCUUAAUACAUGCAAGUCGAGGGGUAGCAAGAUUGUAGCAAUACAAUUGUUGACGACCGGCAAACGGGUGCGGAACACGUACACAACCUUCCUACAAGUGGGGAAUAGCCCAGAGAAAUUUGGAUUAAUACCCCGUAACAUAGCGAUGUGGCAUCACAUUGCUAUUAUAGCUUCGGCGCUUGUUGAUGGGUGUGCGGCUGAUUAGAUAGUUGGCGGGGUAACGGCCCACCAAGUCUACGAUCAGUAGCGGAUGUGAGAGCAUGAUCAGCCAAACGGGGACUGAGACACGGGCCCGACGCCUACGGGAGGAAGCAGUAAGGAAUAUUGGACAAUGGACGCAAGUCUGUUCCAGCCAUGCCGCGUGAAGGAUUAAGGUCCUCUGGAUUGUAAACUUCUUUUAUAAGGGACGAAAAAAGGUCUUUCUAGAUCGUCUGACGGUACCUUAUGAAUAAGCACCGGCUAACUCCGUGCCAGCAGCCGCCGCCG
This 504-nucleotide ribosomal RNA is filed under the name uncultured bacterium. Its description in RNAcentral is "partial 16S ribosomal RNA". It matches the Rfam family "Bacterial small subunit ribosomal RNA", at positions 30 to 523 of the family's 1533-position model. The record is from RNAcentral.